UGCCACCAUAUGUGGCCUGGGGUGCUGGCAGGUUGUCCGCAUCUCCAACAGGAGUCGGAAACAUUUGGGAAAAUCUUGUUUAGUUUCAUAGGUGUUAGGUGCCAUCGAGUUAUCCGCUUGUAGUUGCCCUCUUGGGAAUGUGUACUAAGGCAUGUUUUAUGGAUUCUAAGAAAUAUGUGUGCCCAGUCCUUCGGGGAGAUAUGAAUGUUAAGUUCUGAUUCCCAGGAGUUAGUGAAUUUGGGUAAUGGUUGUUCAUCGUCAGUUGUCAGUAGAUUGUACAUAGUAGAUAGUUGUUUGUUUUUUAUCUUGGUGGAUGUGC
Molecule: non-coding RNA, 319 nt
Organism: Pelobates cultripes (western spadefoot toad)
Lineage: Eukaryota; Metazoa; Chordata; Amphibia; Anura; Pelobatidae
Source: the annotation of a GenBank genome assembly